UAAGGCAGCGGGUUUUGGUCCCGUUACUCGGAGGUUCGAAUCCUUCCGUCCCAGA
This 55-nucleotide transfer RNA is filed under the name Psathyrostachys juncea. RNAcentral's name for it is "partial tRNA-Gln". It matches the Rfam family "tRNA", at positions 19 to 71 of the family's 71-position model. From Rfam's summary of the family: Transfer RNA (tRNA) molecules are approximately 80 nucleotides in length. Their secondary structure includes four short double-helical elements and three loops (D, anti-codon, and T loops). The record is from RNAcentral. Lineage: Eukaryota; Viridiplantae; Streptophyta; Magnoliopsida; Poales; Poaceae.